GACGAAGGGGGCUAGCGUUGUUCGGAAUUACUGGGCGUAAAGCGAGUGUAGGUGGUUGUCCAAGUUGGAUGUGAAAGCCUUGAGCUCAACUCAAGAAAUGCAUUCAGGACUGGGCGGCUAGAGGACCGGAGAGGAUAGUGGAAUUCCCAGUGUAGUGGUGAAAUACGUAGAGAUUGGGUAGAACACCAGUGGCGAAGGCGGCUAUCUGGACGGUUACUGACACUAAGACUCGAAAGCGUGGGGAGCAAACAGG
This 253-nucleotide ribosomal RNA is filed under the name uncultured bacterium. Its description in RNAcentral is "partial 16S ribosomal RNA". It matches the Rfam family "Bacterial small subunit ribosomal RNA", at positions 524 to 776 of the family's 1533-position model. The record is from RNAcentral.